RNAcentral lists this ribosomal RNA (204 nucleotides) under uncultured bacterium. RNAcentral describes it as "partial 16S ribosomal RNA". It matches the Rfam family "Bacterial small subunit ribosomal RNA", at positions 1290 to 1500 of the family's 1533-position model. The record is from RNAcentral.
AGUUCGGAUUGGAGUCUGCAACCCGACUCCAUGAAGCUGGAUUCGCUAGUAAUCGCGCAUCAGCCACGGCGCGGUGAAUACGUUCCCGGGCCUUGUACACACCGCCCGUCAAGCCAUGGAAGCCGGGGGGUGCCUGAAGUGCGCUGCCGCAAGGAGCGCCCUAGGGUAAAACCGGUGACUGGGGCUAAGUCGUAACAAGGUAUC